This 82-nucleotide transfer RNA is filed under the name Chelydra serpentina (North American snapping turtle). It matches the Rfam family "tRNA". From Rfam's summary of the family: Transfer RNA (tRNA) molecules are approximately 80 nucleotides in length. Their secondary structure includes four short double-helical elements and three loops (D, anti-codon, and T loops). Lineage: Eukaryota; Metazoa; Chordata; Testudines; Chelydridae. The record is from Rfam by way of RNAcentral.
GAUGAGGUGGCUGAGUGGUUAAGGUGAUGGACUGUUAAUCCAUUGUGCUCUGCACACAUGUGUUCGAAUCCCAUCCUCAUCG